AGGCUCUCUGUGGGAGUCCCCUCUGAACUGCAGCCACACUGAGUCCCCUCUGAACUGCAGCCACACUGCCCUCUACUUGAUGAGUACUCCAUGGUCAGACACUCAGAUGCAACCACAAAGGAACGGUGAGCGAACGAGAAGGCCCAGGAUGCAGAAUUUCGGGAGGCGCUCACAGUCCUGCUCCUGCAAGAGUGGGGUCAGCAUCUGAGAGCAGGUGACUCGUUCCCCUCACCUUGGGCCCGCCCUGCUGAAAGUGACCAUGGGAACGUGGUGCCGUGCAGAUCCCAGCUACCGGUGACUCCACAAUGGCCUCUGCCCUUGGGACCACUGUCUCCUAAAACAGGACUGAAGCCUGGAACGACACUGGACGCAAAAGGUACAAAAAUCCUAGAUGCCACCAGGUCAAGAGCUUGCAAGGGGCCAGAGGACCUUCUUGAGGGCUGACCCUGGAGCCCGACUGCAGGAAGAGGGGUGCACUGGGUAGAAAGGGUUAGGGGCAUGCAGUCCACGGAAGCAUGCCCACGUGGUGUAUUGUGGGCACUCCUCCUCCGUAAGUGGGGGGCGGGGGUCAAGCAGGGAAGUGCAUUAGGAUCUGAGACUCUAUCGGGGGCACGAAAGGAGCCUUGGAGAGGUUCAGCCAGACUAGACAGACCCUCUGGGAGAAUCCUUCUGAUGCCCUGUAGAUGAGGGUGGGGUUAGCCUAAAGGCAGAGAGCUGAGUUAGGUCCCGCAGUCAUCUAUUCAUAUAAAAUCAUUCGUUACAAAUAGCACCGUGUGUGCCCCUCAGGUUCUUGGUGCCGUUUUGAUUCAUGUCACAGAUUCAUCUACAUGCUUGCAAUAGAGUCACUGGACUACGAGAAUCUUCCUUUAAAUCAUACAUUCACCCAGCCAGUAUUAAUCCAGAAUCCCCCAUGUGGCCAAUGCUGGGGACCCAAUGGCAAGCUGAGAGUUGAGUGGAAGAGACGUCAUGCACACUGUAUAACAGGUGCCUUGAAGGAAGAGCCCCAGAUGCCUGGGAAGCAUGUCAUGAGGAGUCCAGUCUGGUCUGGGGGAUGGGAGUCAGUCCAGGAGGUGACUUUGGAGUUGAAGUCUGAAGGAGGACUUGGUAUUAAACUACACAAAAUGGAGAGGGAGGAUCCUAGGUGAAGGAAGCAGCUUGUGCAAAGGCCCUGUGGUAGGGAAGAAUAUGGCAUAUUUGAGAAGUUAGAAAAACCGAGAGGGAGAGGAGGAGGGCAGUGAAGGAUAAGGGGAGAAAAAGAGGGCCAGGACUGCCUUGCACAGUGCCAACUCCUUGCAAGCAUUUGAAGUUACUUUUUUUUUUUUAAUUUUUUUUUUAAUGUUUAUUUAUUUUUGAGACAGAGA
Molecule: long non-coding RNA, 1361 nt
Organism: Lynx canadensis (Canada lynx)
Lineage: Eukaryota; Metazoa; Chordata; Mammalia; Carnivora; Felidae
Exons: 3
Source: RefSeq, a predicted model, not a curated record